AUCGUCUCCGUCUCGUUCUCUCUCUUCUUUCACUCUUGUCUCCGAUCGCGAGACCGAAACCCUAGAUAUUGUUAUCCAUCGGAAACUCCUCUACUAUCGUUUGUAUCGAAUUCUUUUUUGUCGCAGAGUUUUCGGGAUGAUCUUGGGAUGGCUAGGAUGAGGAGGUUUCUUUUAAUUUCUUUUGAAAUGGUCAACAAAAUAGACGUCUUUGGUGAUGUAUGGAUAUGAUUGGAUGUUCUUCGCCAUGCAGUUGGCUUUUAAUGGCAUUCAAGUGGAAGAGACUUUAGAAAUUGAACCCGUUCUGCAUCAAUCAACUACUACAGAUGAUUUCGAAGUGCUUCAAUCUCUUUCUGAAAUCAGAUUGGUUGGGGAGGACGAUGAUCCUCAAGGACUUGAUGCUGAUGAGCAUACCAAUUUGGUGAAUGCAGACUUACCACAAUGCCGAAUUUGCCUUGAUACUGAAGGGGAUGAUUUAAUUGCACCCUGUCAUUGUAAGGGCACGCAGAAGUAUGUGCAUCGAUCCUGUCUUGAUAAUUGGAGAUCAACCAAAGAAGGUUUUGCAUUUGCCCAUUGUACAGAGUGCAGGGCUGUGUUCAUAUUGCGCGCAAAUGUGCCACCUGAUCGCUGGUGGUUGAGGCUGAAAUUUCAGUUCCUUGUUGUGAGGGACCAUGCUCUCAUCUUUAUUAUUGUGCAGCUGGUUGUUGCUUUUCUAGGUAUGCUGGUCUACAGAUUUUACGGUGAGGAGCUGCGGGAAAUGUUCGGUUAUGAGCAACACCCAUACGGAUUUUAUUCAAUGGCUAUAUUGGCCGUUGUUUUGGUGGGCCUACUCUAUGGAUUCUUCAUAGCCAUUAUUUGCGGGCAGAGAAUAAAUGAACGCCAUUACCAUGUUCUUGCAAAGCAAGAAUUGACAAAGGUCCGGAAUAUGUGGUGGAAAAUAGAGAUGACAAUAAGGAUCCACCACAGCUUGGUCCCAGUCAUGUGACAGAGUUGAGAAUGCUCGGUCUUUAUUAAGCCAUACCUCAUCGGAUUGAAGCGCAUUCUCUGCUGAAAAGAACGCCGCUUAUUUGAGCCUUAAGAUACAAGAAGACAUGGGAGGAGUGGCGUGACAACAUCAGAUGCAACGCGCACACACUAGUUGAAACCUAUAAUCUGGUUGUAUCUGUGUACACAAAUCAGACUGCAAGGUGUUUGGUUCCUGAGUGCCAAGUCCUCUCAAUGUCGUUCUUGUUAUAUGAUUGUGUUUGCUUUUGAUUCUUUAGCAUCUCACCAGGCUCUAGGAAAUGAAAGACUCCAGAAAAGUUGCAUAUUAUUUCAUUUUCCCAGCAGAGAAGCAAGAGCAAUGUAAAGUUGAUGUCAUGCCAAUGUAUCAUUGCCUAGUUUCUUGUAAAUAAAGAGAGGGUUAUUGAACCAUUAUGAUUUCUAUUUCGGUUCCUUGUUUUA
Molecule: RNA transcript, 1440 nt
Organism: Dioscorea cayenensis subsp. rotundata (Guinea yam)
Lineage: Eukaryota; Viridiplantae; Streptophyta; Magnoliopsida; Dioscoreales; Dioscoreaceae
Gene name: E3 ubiquitin-protein ligase MARCHF2
Exons: 8
Source: RefSeq, a predicted model, not a curated record